Molecule: ribosomal RNA, 342 nt
Filed under: Metainae sp. 123
Lineage: Eukaryota; Metazoa; Arthropoda; Arachnida; Araneae; Tetragnathidae
Description: SSU rRNA
Rfam family: Eukaryotic small subunit ribosomal RNA
Source: RNAcentral
GCGAUCAGAUACCGCCCUAGUUCUAACCAUAAACGAUGCCAGCCAGCGAUCCGGCUGUGUUCCUCAAAUGACACGCCGGGCAGCUUCCGGGAAACCAAAGCUUUUGGGUUCCGGGGGGAGUAUGGUUGCAAAGCUGAAACUUAAAGGAAUUGACGGAAGCGCACACAAUGGAAUGGGGCCUGCGGCUUAAUUUGACUCAACACGGGACAUCUCACCCGGCCCGGACACAAGAAGGAUUGACAGAUUAAGAGCUCUUUCUUGAUUUUGUGAUAGGUGGUGCAUGGCCGUUUCUGGUUGGUGGAGUGAUUUGUCUGCUUAAUUGCGUUAACGAGCGAGACUCUA